AUAUACGAACGUUAUGAACAAUCCUAAGAUCGAUCAUUAACCAACUCAAGCAAAAGGGCGAAAACUCACCGAAUGCGAAGGAAACUCUCUCGAUCUCCAAAUAGGAGUUAAGAGUCCUUCUAAUCCAACCUAAACAAAGGUUCUAAGCCCAUCAAUUUGGUUCCAAAAGCCUCAAAUCCAAAAUCCCCAAAAUAAACCCUAAUUUUCAAUUCUAAGGUUUCAUCUAGUAGAAUCUACUAAAACAUAAAUCAAAGAGGAGAUUAAGCUUACUAACCUAACUAGAAACUUCAAAUCACCCAAGAACCCUGCUAGAGUUGAAGAUCUUCCCUCCACAAAGCUCCAAUCACGAGCUCAAGGCUUCUCCCAUGGUGGAAACCAAC
RNAcentral lists this long non-coding RNA (380 nucleotides) under Ananas comosus (pineapple). RNAcentral describes it as "long non-coding RNA (ACOM_LNC010186)". The record is from RNAcentral. Lineage: Eukaryota; Viridiplantae; Streptophyta; Magnoliopsida; Poales; Bromeliaceae.